AAUAUUGGACAAUGGGCGAAAGCCUGAUCCAGCCAUGCCGCGUGUGUUAAGAAGGUCUUCGGGUUGUAAAGCACUUUAAGUUGGGAGGAAGGGCAGUCAGUUAAUACCUUUCUGUUAUGCCGUGACCGACCGAAUAAGCACCGGCCAACCUUGUGCCAGCAGCCGCGGUAAUACGAAGGGUGCAAGCGUCAAUCGGAAUUGCGGGGCGUAAAGCGCGGGUAGGUGGUUUGUUAAGUUGGAAGUGAAAGCCCCGGGCUCAACCUGGGAACUGCUUUGAAAACUGGCAAGCUAGAGUAUGGCAGAGGGUGGUGGAAUUUCCUGUGUAGCGGUGAAAUGCGUAGGUAUAGGAAGGAACACCAGUGGCGAUGGCGACCACCUGGGCUAAUACUGACACUGAGGUGCGAAAGCGUGGGGAGCAAAC
This 421-nucleotide ribosomal RNA is filed under the name uncultured bacterium. RNAcentral's name for it is "partial 16S ribosomal RNA". It matches the Rfam family "Bacterial small subunit ribosomal RNA", at positions 360 to 773 of the family's 1533-position model. The record is from RNAcentral.